UUAGGCCACAUAAAAUAAAGUCCUUGAUUCUCAUCACCGCCCGACUGUAUUUUAAGAGCCGCGUGAAAUUUUUUUAUAUUUUGUUAUACAAUAUAAAUGUACCGCGCGACAAAAUAUUUCAAGGCAGUUAAGUUUUUUAUAUUUUAUUUUGGGUUUUUAGUGCCAUUUUAAACUGCCAAUUUCAAACAAAUAGAACCUUGAAAGAAAUUUCAUUGCAUUUUAAUGGAACUUCGCAUUCAGUUCAAGGGCCAGUCAUUGUUCGUGG
RNAcentral lists this long non-coding RNA (265 nucleotides) under Paramuricea clavata. The record is from RNAcentral. Lineage: Eukaryota; Metazoa; Cnidaria; Anthozoa; Malacalcyonacea; Plexauridae.